Molecule: transfer RNA, 74 nt
Filed under: Vertebrata lanosa
Lineage: Eukaryota; Rhodophyta; Florideophyceae; Ceramiales; Rhodomelaceae
Description: tRNA-Arg
Rfam family: tRNA
About the family: Transfer RNA (tRNA) molecules are approximately 80 nucleotides in length. Their secondary structure includes four short double-helical elements and three loops (D, anti-codon, and T loops).
Source: RNAcentral
AUACCUUUAGUUUAAUUGGAUAAAGCGUCAACCUUCUAAGUUGAGUCAUAAAGGUUCAAAUCCUUUAGGGUAUU